AUGGUGGCGGCGGGGCCUCGGUUGCCCUGCAUCUACGUGGGGAACCCCGGAUCUGGAGCGACUGCUUCAUUGGCAAGGCACGGCCGACUAGCAGCCGUGCAGGUGGUGGAUAUGGUGUCCCGGCCGCGCGGGCGGCAGGAUCCGGUGAUCGUUGGCGGCCGGCGGCGGUCGGUGCGCGUGAUCUGGCGCCUCCCCUCCUCCCCUGUUCUACGUGCGGGCCAGUCUGGUCGGGUCGCGCUUCCUCUUGGUCGCCGGUUCUGUACAGGAGGCACUGCUGGUGGCGGGGAUCUAGUUCGGGAGAAAUCCCUGGCCGGCCAUGAUCGGUCGCGCCGACGGCGACGCCUGAGGGCGUCGUUCCCCUCCUUGAAGGCGUAG
This 375-nucleotide ribosomal RNA is filed under the name Triticum aestivum (bread wheat). Its description in RNAcentral is "partial small subunit ribosomal RNA". The record is from RNAcentral. Lineage: Eukaryota; Viridiplantae; Streptophyta; Magnoliopsida; Poales; Poaceae.